UAGUCCACGCCGUAAACGAUGGAUGCUAGCUGUAUUCGGUAUCGACCCCGGAUGUAGCGAAGCUAACGCGUUAAGCAUCCCGCCUGUGGAGUACGGUCACAAGACUAAAACAUAAAGGAAUUGACGGGGACCCGCACAAGCGGUGGAGCGUGUUGUUUAAUUCGAUGGUAAGCGAAGAACCUUACCCAGGCUUGACAUCCUUGGAAGCUUUCCGAAAGGAAAGUGUGCUUUAUUGAGCCAAGUGAC
This 246-nucleotide ribosomal RNA is filed under the name uncultured bacterium. RNAcentral describes it as "partial 16S ribosomal RNA". It matches the Rfam family "Bacterial small subunit ribosomal RNA", at positions 791 to 1035 of the family's 1533-position model. The record is from RNAcentral.